Molecule: ribosomal RNA, 557 nt
Filed under: uncultured bacterium
Lineage: Bacteria
Description: bacterial SSU rRNA
Rfam family: Bacterial small subunit ribosomal RNA
Source: RNAcentral
ACGGGUGAGUAACGCGUGGGAACGUGCCCUUCGGUUCGGAAUAACUCAGGGAAACUUGAGCUAAUACCGGAUACGCCCUUUUGGGGAAAGGUUUACUGCCGAAGGAUCGGCCCGCGUCUGAUUAGCUAGUUGGUGAGGUUAUGGCUCACCAAGGCGACGAUCAGUAGCUGGUCUGAGAGGAUGAUCAGCCACACUGGGACUGAGACACGGCCCAGACUCCUACGGGAGGCAGCAGUGGGGAAUAUUGGACAAUGGGGGCAACCCUGAUCCAGCCAUGCCGCGUGAGUGAUGACGGCCUUAGGGUUGUAAAGCUCUUUUCUUCGGGACGAUAAUGACGGUACCGGAGGAAUAAGCCCCGGCUAACUUCGUGCCAGCAGCCGCGGUAAUACGAAGGGGGCUAGCGUUGCUCGGAAUCACUGGGCGUAGAGGGCGCGUAGGCGGCUGAUUUAGUCGAGGGUGAAAGCCCGUGGCUCAACUACGGAAUGGCCUUCGAUACUGAUUGGCUUGAGACCGGAAGAGGACAGCGGAACUGCGAGUGUAGAGGUGAAAUUCGUAGA